Molecule: ribosomal RNA, 960 nt
Filed under: Vibrio natriegens
Lineage: Bacteria; Pseudomonadati; Pseudomonadota; Gammaproteobacteria; Vibrionales; Vibrionaceae
Description: bacterial SSU rRNA
Rfam family: Bacterial small subunit ribosomal RNA
Source: RNAcentral
UAUCUGAACCUUCGGGGGACGAUAACGGCGUCGAGCGGCGGACGGGUGAGUAAUGCCUAGGAAAUUGCCCUGAUGUGGGGGAUAACCAUUGGAAACGAUGGCUAAUACCGCAUAAUGCCUACGGGCCAAAGAGGGGGACCUUCGGGCCUCUCGCGUCAGGAUAUGCCUAGGUGGGAUUAGCUAGUUGGUGAGGUAAUGGCUCACCAAGGCGACGAUCCCUAGCUGGUCUGAGAGGAUGAUCAGCCACACUGGAACUGAGACACGGUCCAGACUCCUACGGGAGGCAGCAGUGGGGAAUAUUGCACAAUGGGCGCAAGCCUGAUGCAGCCAUGCCGCGUGUGUGAAGAAGGCCUUCGGGUUGUAAAGCACUUUCAGUCGUGAGGAAGGUAGUGUAGUUAAUAGCUGCAUUAUUUGACGUUAGCGACAGAAGAAGCACCGGCUAACUCCGUGCCAGCAGCCGCGGUAAUACGGAGGGUGCGAGCGUUAAUCGGAAUUACUGGGCGUAAAGCGCAUGCAGGUGGUUUGUUAAGUCAGAUGUGAAAGCCCGGGGCUCAACCUCGGAAUAGCAUUUGAAACUGGCAGACUAGAGUACUGUAGAGGGGGGUAGAAUUUCAGGUGUAGCGGUGAAAUGCGUAGAGAUCUGAAGGAAUACCGGUGGCGAAGGCGGCCCCCUGGACAGAUACUGACACUCAGAUGCGAAAGCGUGGGGAGCAAACAGGAUUAGAUACCCUGGUAGUCCACGCCGUAAACGAUGUCUACUUGGAGGUUGUGGCCUUGAGCCGUGGCUUUCGGAGCUAACGCGUUAAGUAGACCGCCUGGGGGAGUACGGUCGCAAGAUUAAAACUCAAAUGAAUUGACGGGGGCCCGCACAAGCGGUGGAGCAUGUGGUUUAAUUCGAUGCAACGCGAAGAACCUUACCUACUCUUGACAUCCAGAGAACUUUCCAGAGAUGGAUUGGUG